AACGAACGCUGGCGGCAUGCCUAACACAUGCAAGUCGAACGAGACCUUCGGGUCUAGUGGCGCACGGGUGCGUAACGCGUGGGAACCUGCCCUUAGGUUCGGAAUAACUCCCCGAAAGGGGUGCUAAUACCGGAUAAUGUCUUCGGACCAAAGAUUUAUCGCCUUUGGAUGGGCCCGCGUUGGAUUAGCUAGUUGGUAGGGUAAAAGCCUACCAAGGCGACGAUCCAUAGCUGGUCUGAGAGGAUGAUCAGCCACACUGGGACUGAGACACGGCCCAGACCCCCACGGGGGGCAGGAGGGGGGAAAUUGGGAAAAGGGGCGAAAGCCUGACCCAGCAAGGCCGGGUGAGUGAUGAAGGCCUUGGGGUUGUAAAGCUUUUUUACCCGGGAUGAUAAGGACAGGACCGGGAGAAUAAGCCCCGGCUAACUCCGU
RNAcentral lists this ribosomal RNA (432 nucleotides) under uncultured bacterium. RNAcentral describes it as "partial 16S ribosomal RNA". It matches the Rfam family "Bacterial small subunit ribosomal RNA", at positions 29 to 506 of the family's 1533-position model. The record is from RNAcentral.